UACAGAGGUCUCAAGCGUUGUUCGGAUUCAUUGGGCGUAAAGCGCGCGUAGGCGGGAAAUUAAGUGAGAAGUGAAAGGCUGGGGCUCAACCUCAUGCAGUGCUUCUCAUACUGGUUUUCUUGAGGGCGGUAGAGAAAAGUGGAAUGGCUGGUGUAGCGGUGAAAUGCGUAGAUAUCAGUCGGAACACCGGUGGCGAAGGCGGCUUUUUGGGCCGUUCCUGACGCUGAGGCGCGAAAGCCAGGGGAGCGAACGGG
Molecule: ribosomal RNA, 254 nt
Filed under: uncultured bacterium
Lineage: Bacteria
Description: partial 16S ribosomal RNA
Rfam family: Bacterial small subunit ribosomal RNA
Source: RNAcentral